This is a long non-coding RNA of Gallus gallus (chicken), 6840 nucleotides long. The record is from Ensembl. NCBI's taxonomy places the organism in Eukaryota, Metazoa, Chordata, Aves, Galliformes, Phasianidae.
CUGGCUCCAUUGCAAACUGAGUAAACAGCUGACGGGCAGGCCAUCGUCGCUGCUGGAGACAGCGAGACAAACACAUGAGGGUCAAAUCUUGAGCGUUUCAGCAGUCACUCAUCAAAAUACCAUUUGACUUGAGCAGGAAGCUGGACUAAAUGUGAACGAUGGUGUUUGGCACAUGGUGGGUGUCCAGAUGGCCUAGUGUUAGGCACUGCCUUCUGAGGGUGGAUCCCACCCAAGUUAUUAUCAAGGAUUCUUGCAACAGCCACAGGAGAGAUUGACAAGUCAGAUUGCCUUCAUUAAGAGCCAAAUUUGGGUCUGCUAAAUCACCCUCUAAAUUUCAAGCAGAUGAAAGACGCUGGAGGAGGAGGAAGAUGGCAAGAAGCGUCGUUCACUGGAAUGCAUGUACUGGAACGCACGCUCACGUCUUCUGCUGGAGGGACCUCUGCCAAGGGAGAACAUCACUUCUGAGGAACUGCUGGUUCAAAUUGCCACUUAAUCUCUUCAAAUUGGCUUUCGUGUACACCCGUGGCACACGGACCUCAGCAGUCUGGUAAGUCUGAAAGUCUGCAUUGUUCUGUUGUCAGGUUCAGAGAAAGACGAAACAAAAAUGCUCAAGUCCAGGGUUGCCUCACUGCCAGUAAUUCCUUUUAAACUAGUUGCAGUAUGCACUCGCAGUGCUGAAGAAUAAUAUCCACUUAACAUGCUGUCUGUUAGAGAAAUGUGUGCCCUGCUUUUGAAGAUGUGAUGAUGUGCUGCUUUGUCUCAGGUGCAGAGCUCCGUGCAGUGCAGCCUGAGGAGAUGCUCUAAAACCUCACCUUGGCUGCACUGAAAAGUGUGGCAAGAGAUGCAGAAUAAUGCCUGACACCUCGAAUGGCAUGCAUCGGGGCUAUUACAUGAUGAAUGGCUGUGUCUUGGGAAUUGGAAGUCAUGGGUGAUAGCUUUAUGGGAGCAGACAAGACUUCUGGAUGUAUAAAGAAAGAAGGACAUAACUCUGAAUUUAUACAAGCCGUAUUUAUUGUAAAACCCUAAUGAAGGUUAAUGCUUUGACCCCAAGGAAGGUGGUGUGCAUUUGCAAUGAAGCUCUGGGAUGCCUCACUUGAUGGCACACAGAAGCUUGGCAAAUUUGGACUGGGAGAUGGACAUUGUUAUAUGCCAGUGAGCAGCCUGGCUGCUGCCAUCACAGCGCUGGGACCUUGCGGAGUUCCCUGUGAAGGCUGUAUUUGUUUUCUCUUAUGACUUUGGUGUUGAUGAUGAACAAUGGCAUUCUACCAAGUGUGGCAGAUACCACCUGUGGAUGAGCUGCGUUUUGAAGAGGAAAACCCUCCCAAGCGUUGCUCUGGUCUGCAGUGAAGUUUCACUGAUCUGGAACUUCAGGUGCUUCGUCCCCUGGUUUGCUGAUUUGCUGCUACUUGCUGUUUCUGAUUUUCUUUCUACAACAAUGUAUUGGGAACACAGUAUAUGGCUUCUUGAAGAAGGGACAUUCACAGAAGAAGCCACAAGGAAAAUCCCAUCGUGAGCCCCAAAGACACCUUCAUCUCUGCGUCUAUGCAGCUCUAGCCUGUGGCUGCUCUGUGGCUGUCCUGAGCAUGCGAUGCUGGUGAGGUAUUUGAGCACGCACUUGUGCAAUGCCUCUAGUUCCUCCCUGCGUGCCUCCACACAGGCUGUGCUGUGAGUUUUACUUUUCUUGUUUAUUUUGGUUGUACCUGUAUGUUCUCCUGCAGAUUCAAAGCUCCGAAGAAGCUGCACCGACCGCCUGUCUUGGCAUGACUGUCUGCUGCUGAAUUUGCUGGAGAAAUUAGAACUUGUCUUGCAGAAGAUGGACUCACUGGUUUUAUUAAUAUUGCAAAAUAGCUAGCUUUGACAAGCAGCCAAGAGUGGAGCUAGUCCCUUUCCCAGCCACAGGUUGUCUCAUAGUGAACCCUUCUUUCACUUGGCAGUGCACUGCAAAUGUGAGAACCAUGCCUCCUCCUGCCAUAGCUCUCACGUUACCCUCAUCUCCACCACGCUGUCCAACUCAGCUUAGCUGAGCGCGGAAGCUGCCUCCUCACCCAAGUAAGCACUGCUUACCCAGGUGUGCCUGGCUGGAUGAGGGAGGGGGACGCCCAACAUCCUGAUGGCAGACAGAUCCCACAGCAAACUGUGUCUGUCAUAGGAGGUGCGAAGAGCCACUUAUGUUGGCCAGAUGUCUCACGGUUGGUUGAGAUGACCCUUCCCCUCUCUCUGAAGGGACACAACUUGGCUUUUCUACAGCUCCAGGUAGAGGAAAAGCACCACUGGCUGCAAGAACUGGGUCCCGCAGCACUUGGCUCUCCAGCAGCAGCUCCAUACAGUCAUCACACGGAGAGUCGGGGAAAGCAGGACCUGUCUGGAUAAUAAGCCAUCAUUUCGUCCCAUGCUUAAAAGAAGCUCUCUGUGCUUUGAACAGGCCAAAUAACAUUUUCCCCCAUAAUUUUUUAACUUUGGGCACCUUUGCAAAUUACUCUCCUGGCUGGGAAGGAGCUCAGGAGUGCCAGAACACCAUGGGAAGAGGCUGCUCUGUGAUACUGCCAACCUGCGAAGGAGGAGGAAAUGCUGGAAAUCCCCUAAGCACGCCUGUUUUCUUGAGAUUCCCAACUCGAUUUUGCAAACUCAGAAGAUUUUAUAUAAUUUGGUUUAGUCGGUUCAGAGGUCUAAGGCACUUGGCUGUGCAUCUGGAUUGCAUCUUUGGGGUGGGUUAUCCAAAAAAGUACUCAGAACAGUAUGAAAUUCAUCCUUCGCUAGCAAAGCUGAAGGAAAACAAGAGCACGGGAAGGGAGUUUCUUCUCUCUGCUUGCUGUGCUGGACGCUGGGUGUGAACCUGUGAUCCGUGCCUCUGCCACCAGAUGCUGUGCCUUGUGCCAGCAGAGGAGACAUCAGCCCGCUGACCACCUGUCUUCAGAGCAAGAAAAAAAGGAAAAGAGAGAGAAUUUGAAAAUAAAUCUCUCAUCUGAUGUGCAAGUGCAGCAAGCACAGUGAUGACACACAAGCUACAGGGCUUUAUUCAGGCUUCCCUGUCUGAUAAUGUGGGCCUUAAAAACCCCUGACAUGAAAUGAUUCAGGUUGAAAAGUGCAAGUCAAUCCAAAACAGAAACAAAGAAACUUAGUGUUAACGGCCCUUUCAUUUUAUCACCAUAGAAAAGGGUUGCGUAUUGAUGCGACAGUGCCCACGGAAGCCCAGAGCCCAUCUGCAGGUGGUGCUAACCCAGAGCUGUCCCACAGCAUUGGCAGCCACCAGCACCUCGCGGGCUGGGCUGGGCUGGGCUCUGCCUGCAGGCGGCUGCGUUCGGCGGUGGGUGAAACGAGUCCUCUGUUUUGAUGGGCCAACUCUUCCCUUUAGAUGUCUGUGCUCACCUCCCAUUAACUUUGGUAUGAGCUGAGCUCAUGCUUCCAAGAGCGAAAUUUGGCUUAUAAUUUCUGCAUGCUUCGGGAUCCUUUGGGUACCAUAUAAAUGUAACAUGCUGUGAUUCAGUGCUAAAGAGCAGAGAAAAUUCAACCCCCCAGGAGAUACAGUGAGAGAAAAUCAUAUAGAACCUUUGUUUAAAAUAAUAAUGAAAAGAAAAAAGAAAGAUCAAGAAAAACAAUUGAGAUUCAUUCCAAAGCUGAGUUCAUUGCACAGCGAGGACAGAACGCACAUCCCUUAUCCAGCGAUAGCUUCUUUGACAUGGAUGAGUUAGGGCCCAUUGGACCAGGCCCCAGUUUUGAAGGCAUUAUUGAAAAUGUCUUACCUCCUAUAUUUCCUGUUUUUUAAUCAAACUCACUGUGCUGCCAGAGGUGUUUCAUUUACCAGGAGAGGGGUCAGCGAGGCAGCCACGAGCAACAGGAAAUAAAGCACCGUGCGGCCCCUCCCUGCCUGGACGCGGGCUGGGGCCAGCAGUGCUGAGCUCGGUGCUGUCUGCCUGUACCAUGGCAUCCUACAGCCAACGUGGGCACUGGGGGUCUGCCUGCUGGCUCUGCCAUGCAGCCCUGCGCCAACAGCGAACGGUGCAUACAUCCUCGAAUUUUAUUUUCUAUCUACUGCCGUAGUUUCUUGGCUUGUUGCAACUGUCAUAAAAUUACUUUAUUAUAUUUUCCCAUCUGUUAUGUUUUUGCUUCUUUAGAGGGGGAUGUUGCGUGAUGCUUAUAGUCUAAUUUAGCUUUAAACUUGUAUGGCUGUUGUUUAUGGAAAACGAACGUUGCAUUUGCAGAAUAACCUGUGGCUUUCCUGUAGAACCAAGGAGAAUGUCUGCAGGCAGCAAACAUGGAUGCAACCAGAUGGACAGGACUGCUCAUUGCCUCCUGCCCCAACUCCUCUGCUUUGAGUUGUGGCCUUGGCCAUGGCCAGUGGAGUUCUAAUUACUCAUUAAUUUAGCUAUCCUCCUGCAUUGCCCAGCUAAGGGCUCUCCAUCACCACUUUCACCACUGUUGAAGCCAUUCAUUCAGUCUUAGCUUGAACAACCUAAGUCUUAGAAUAAUUUGUUCUUUAACAAAAAGCGCAGAGAACAGAGCGCUGCUCUGCCCACCUGGCUUGUUUUCCGCUCUCCUCUUUGCCUCCAGUCUGACUGCUGGUUCUCAUGGUCUGCCUGAGCUGGAGAGUAAUCCCAUCCACUCCCCUGCUCACAUUGUUGGUUUUUUUUCCUGUAAUUUGUACUGCUAGUGUAUAUUAAAGAUUUUGUUCUGUUAAACUGUUGAGACUGUUAGAUGAAAUCCAGCAUUUAAUCUGGGAGUUUGGCGAUACCAAAGGAUUUCUGAACACACAAAAUCCUGCUCUAAGAAGAAAAAAGUGAAGUUUGAGAAUCCUAUUUAUGUACCUCCACUGAGUCUCUCCUUCCUGCCCUGAGUGUAUUACACUGUGCUUCUCAAACACAAUUUUAUCUCCAGGAGAGGAAGCAAUAACUGUUCUUAUCAGUGGACCAGAACCUACAUCAUGCACAUGGCAUGAGGCAAAGAAAUCCCAUGCACCUGCAACUGGCCACGACUUUGGCACAAACAGAAGCAGAGAGAGCACACGUGUAAGGAGCUGAGUCAAGGACUUUGAGCAACGAUGUGACUGCUGUCUAUCAGGAUCUUGUGAAUAACAAGGCAGCUGGGGUGUGACUUCAAAAUAUAACUGUGACAUUUGUGGACAUCAUAGGCAAUUAGUUGUUUUUCGAUUGCGGUUGUCUAACUGGAAAGUAUGGGUGAAGUUUCAGCCUCUACAACGGUCCAACUGUUUGACAUCAACAGUUUCGAAAAAGGGACUUUUACUGUAUAAAAUGAUUAUUCCUAUCUGUAGAUUGUAGUAAAAGAAAAAUCCAAGGCACGAUGUGAAACUGAUGCCUGAGUAGAGCUGUGCAAGAUCGCUUCGGUGGCAGCUCUCUUGGCUUCCACCUCUGUGCCAUCAGUGCUGCACUUCUUGUGGAUGCUGUCCUUCAGGAUUAAGAAGGAAUAAAGAGAAUCAGACACAGAAUCACUGCCUGUGCUGGAAUUCAGCUGGUGAAGACCUCAAAAUGAACUGGCAAGGAGGUUGCAUUUGAACUCUGCAGCCCCUAUGUUCAAUUCUUUAUUAACUUUUUCAAUAUGUUCUAUUACGGUCACAAUAUGGGAGCUAUCUUGCAGCUAAUUUAACACCUGUAAAUUCCCAUGGCUGGUAAUGAAACAUUGCAUAGACUAGUGGAUGAAGCAUUUGCUUCAUAUAUCUAAGGUCAUUAGUUCAGUACUCGUUAAUGCUGUAGCUUUUAUUAAAAUUUCUUUUAGUUUUGGUUUUCUUUUUGCAUCAGCCCCUUACAGGCUGAUUAAUUCUUCUCCUUCCCAAAGCUAAACACAAAACAUGAGCAUCUGACCCAGAGCACUGGGGCUAAACUCUGCACUGAAGUCUUGAAUUAUGCUGCCUGAGGUUAUCCUUUCAAAGCCUCCCCGGCUGCCAUGAGGGUGACAGUGUGACACCAGGGGACACGUCAUCGUGGCCAGGUCAUGGUGACACAAGUGACACUGCUGUUGGCACGUUCCGUUCCCUCUGCCCAGCCUGCGCUGUGUCAUCACUGCUGCGGCUGAGAAAAGCAGAGGCAGUGAGCUCCGGCCCUGCAGCUGGUGUUGCUGGAUGUUUUCUAUCCAACCUGACCCUUUCUCAACCCUGACAUGGGUUGGGUCCACCACAGUAGCCAACUUUUCAAAACACAACCAGCACAAAGCAACAUUAUCAUGAAAGUAAGCGGCUUCUGGAGAUGAAAUCACAUGAGCCGUGCAUCCAAAUGCGAUGCUGCAGCUUCUGGGAAACGCUGAGCGUGCGCUUCUUCACCUUGCAAGCUCUUGGCAUGCGUGCUGUUUAUCAAAAUAACAGCUCAUUGAAAUACAGCCCAAAGGACUGCCAGGAAGGUUGAAUGAAGCACUGUUGUUUCCAGCACACCACGGUCUCCAUUGGUUUCUCCAGAGGAGGGAAGUGCGUGGGCUCCAGGAACGCACCCCAUGCCCAAAGCCCACCUGGUUCUGCCUGCACGUGGAGCUGCCAUGGGACUGCGCCUCGGCCAGAUCUGGACAUUGCUUUGUUAGCAAAGUGCCACCUGCCAGGAGUCUGCCCCUGGGGCAUCAUUCUGGUCAUCCACAGGGAAAAGAAAUGCUGGAUGUACUCCUGACACCAUUAAAUUGAUCUGUAAACAAGCUAUGCUUUUUAUUAACAACUUCAUGCUGCAGAAUGUUAUAAGAUAUGUGCUUCUUUGUAAGAAACGCAUGCUGUUUUAUAUUCAUAUCCGUGCCUGCCUUAUAGCUGGCUUUGUGACGCUACUCAUUAAUUCAGGAUUGAAAUGUCUUUCUCACUCUGUGACAUUUAGGUGCCUGAUAUUUUUUACAAAGCUUAUUAAAACUCAGAUUUGU